RNAcentral lists this ribosomal RNA (568 nucleotides) under uncultured bacterium. Its description in RNAcentral is "bacterial SSU rRNA". It matches the Rfam family "Bacterial small subunit ribosomal RNA", at positions 338 to 916 of the family's 1533-position model. The record is from RNAcentral.
CCUACGGGAGGCAGCAGUGGGGAAUAUUGCACAAUGGGCGAAAGCCUUAUGCAGCAACGCCGCGUGAGGGAUGAAGGCCUUCGGGUUGUAAACCUCUUUUAGUUGGGAAGAAGCGAAAGUGACGGUACCAACAGAAAAAGCACCGGCUAACUACGCGCCAGCAGCCGCGGUAAUACGUAGGGUGCAAGCGUUGUCCGGAAUUAUUGGGCGUAAAGAGCUCGUAGGCGGUUUGUCGCGUCUGCUGUGAAAAUCCGAGGCUCAACCUCGGACCUGCAGUGGGUACGGGCAAACUAGAGUGCGGUAGGGGAGAAGGGAAUUCCUGGUGUAGCGGUGGAAUGCGCAGAUAUCAGGAGGAACACCGAUGGCGAAGGCACUUCUCUGGGCCGUAACUGACGCUGAGGAGCGAAAGCGUGGGGAGCGAACAGGAUUAGAUACCCUGGUAGUCCACGCCGUAAACGGUGGGUGCUAGUUGUGGGCCACAUUCCACGUGGUCCGUGACGCAGCUAACGCAUUAAGCACCCCGCCUGGGGAGUACGGUCGCAAGACUAAAACUCAAAGGAAUUGACGG